This is a long non-coding RNA of Gadus morhua (Atlantic cod), 845 nucleotides long. RefSeq lists it as uncharacterized. The record is from RefSeq and is a predicted model, not a curated record. Lineage: Eukaryota; Metazoa; Chordata; Actinopteri; Gadiformes; Gadidae. The transcript has 4 exons.
AAUAAGGAUUUUUCAUACGAAUGUGAACCGUGUCCUGAUAAAACAUACUCGGACACGCACGACGGCAACUGCAAAUCAAUAACUCAGUGCAGUGACAGCGGCCUCUUUGAAGUCUUUCCAGGAAACAAAACCCACAAUGCAAGAUGCUCUCUAUAUGAUGCAGAGGUACCAUAUCGGUGGGAAUCAACGAUCAGUGUCAUUAACUUGGCUUGUAGCAUCUUGCUGCUGCUCAUCCUUCUCUAUGCCUGUGUGAAGAAAACUAUGAGGCACACACAUGCGAACGACAUUGCUGUGUUUGCCCCUGUAUCUACAACCACACCAGAAUAUCCAUACCCAAAAGAGGAGAUUGGAGAAAAGUUUUCCAUUUGCCAACUAUGAUGUUCUGAUGCCAUGAUGUAUCCAAGGACAAUAUUAUUGGUGACUUACAAAGCAUUUAGAAACUAAUAUAGAUCUGAGAACACUUGUUGACUCAAUAGAUAUGGUUAUCAAAGAGAUACAUGGGUUUGAAAGGCUAUAUAGUCAGUGUCACUAUGUCCCCAUUGUAUUUGUGACAAUUUAGCUGCUUAUUUUCUGCAGUAUGUACGAUGAUGUAUUUUUUCAUAUCUAUAUUUUUUUAUUUUAUUGAAUGUAAUAUAUAACUAUCCUGUCCAUGGUGAGUAGAGACAGUUGACGUUGAAGGGCUUAACAAGUUGCACAGAUGUGGCAAUUCUUUCUGUUGGACUAAUUAGACGUACAAUGGCAAGCUUUUAAAAUCGCACAAUUCCUACAGAAUUGUCCAUAAUGCUAAAGCAUUGUGGUAGUGCUGAGCUUGGAUUAACUUAAUAAAAAAACAAUCAUAACAUUUC